This 402-nucleotide ribosomal RNA is filed under the name bacterium. RNAcentral describes it as "partial 16S ribosomal RNA". It matches the Rfam family "Bacterial small subunit ribosomal RNA", at positions 355 to 776 of the family's 1533-position model. RNAcentral also lists the same sequence under 2 other names. The record is from RNAcentral.
UGGGGAAUAUUGCACAAUGGAGGGAACUCUGAUGCAGCGACGCCGCGUGAACGAAGAAGGCUUUCGAGUCGUAAAGUUCUUUUAUAUGGGAAGAUAAUGACGGUACCAUAAGAAAAAGCCCCGGCUAACUACGUGCCAGCAGCCGCGGUAAUACGUAGGGGGCUAGCGUUGUCCGGAAUCACUGGGCGUAAAGGGUUCGCAGGCGGAAAUGCAAGUCAGGUGUAAAAGGCAGUAGCUUAACUACUGUAAGCAUUUGAAACUGCAUAUCUUGAGAAGAGUAGAGGUAAGUGGAAUUUUUAGUGUAGCGGUGAAAUGCGUAGAUAUUAAAAGAAUACCGGUGGCGAAGGCGACUUACUGGGCUCAUUCUGACGCUGAGGAACGAAAGCGUGGGUAGCAAACAGG